AUUUUCUUUAAAUUUAAAGAAUUUGGCGGUAGUUUAGUCUAGUCAGAGGAACCUGCUUAUUAAAUCGAUAAAACACGUAGGAUCUUACUUAUUUUUGUUUAGUUUGUAUACCGUCAUUAGCAGAUAAUUUUGGAGAAAAUAGAAUUAUUAAAUUUAAUUGUUAUUAGAAAAAUUAGAUCAAGGUGCAGCUUAUAAAUAAGGUCAAGUGGGUUACAAUAAGGUUUACUUAAAAUGGAGUAAAAUAGUUAGGAUUUUAUGAAGGGGGAUUUGAUUGUAUUGAAAGUUUAAUAUGCUUAAG
Molecule: ribosomal RNA, 298 nt
Filed under: Potamonautes obesus
Lineage: Eukaryota; Metazoa; Arthropoda; Malacostraca; Decapoda; Potamonautidae
Description: partial 12S ribosomal RNA
Source: RNAcentral